AUCAGUGUGGUGUAGUGGUUUGAGCAUUGGACUGUCAUUCUGGAGACCAGGGUUCAAUUCCCGGCUCUGCUA
Molecule: non-coding RNA, 72 nt
Organism: Phrynosoma platyrhinos (Desert horned lizard)
Lineage: Eukaryota; Metazoa; Chordata; Lepidosauria; Squamata; Phrynosomatidae
Source: the annotation of a GenBank genome assembly